UACAGAGGGGGCAAGCGUUAUUCGGAAUUAUUGGGCGUAAAGAGCUUGUAGGCGGUUUGUCGCGUCUGCUGUGAAAAUCCGGGGCUCAACCCCGGACUUGCAGUGGGUACGGGCAGGCUAGAGUGUGGUAGGGGAGACUGGAAUUCCUGGUGUAGCGGUGAAAUGCGCAGAUAUCAGGAGGAACACCGAUGGCGAAGGCAGGUCUCUGGGCCGCGACUGACGCUGAGAAGCGAAAGCAUGGGGAGCGAAAAGG
RNAcentral lists this ribosomal RNA (253 nucleotides) under uncultured bacterium. Its description in RNAcentral is "partial 16S ribosomal RNA". It matches the Rfam family "Bacterial small subunit ribosomal RNA", at positions 524 to 776 of the family's 1533-position model. The record is from RNAcentral.